Molecule: long non-coding RNA, 1100 nt
Filed under: Homo sapiens (human)
Lineage: Eukaryota; Metazoa; Chordata; Mammalia; Primates; Hominidae
Description: long non-coding RNA NONHSAT198747.1
Source: RNAcentral
GGGAAAUUACAAUUAUGAAAGAGCUAUCUGGUCACAAAAAUAUUGUGGGCUAUUUGGACUGUGCUGUUAAUUCAAUUAGUGAUAAUGUAUGGGAAGUCCUUAUCUUAAUGGAAUAUUGUCGAGCUGGACAGGUAGUGAAUCAAAUGAAUAAGAAGCUACAGACGGGUUUUACAGAACCAGAAGUGUUACAGAUAUUCUGUGAUACCUGUGAAGCUGUUGCAAGGUUGCAUCAGUGUAAGACUCCAAUAAUUCACCGGGAUCUGAAGGUAGAAAAUAUUUUGUUGAAUGAUGGUGGGAACUAUGUACUUUGUGACUUUGGCAGUGCCACUAAUAAAUUUCUUAAUCCUCAAAAAGAUGGAGUUAAUGUAGUAGAAGAAGAAAUUAAAAAGCACUGGGAUGUCUACUCUAUAAACUUUGUUUCUUCACUCUUCCUUUUGGUGAGAGUCAGGUUGCUAUCUGUGAUGGCAACUUCACCAUCCCAGACAAUUCUCGUUACUCCCGUAACAUACAUUGCUUAAUAAGGUUCAUGCUUGAACCAGAUCCGGAACAUAGACCUGAUAUAUUUCAAGUGUCAUAUUUUGCAUUUAAAUUUGCCAAAAAGGAUUGUCCAGUCUCCAACAUCAAUAAUUCUUCUAUUCCUUCAGCUCUUCCUGAACCGAUGACUGCUAGUGAAGCAGCUGCUAGGAAAAGCCAAAUAAAAGCCAGAAUAACAGAUACCAUUGGACCAACAGAAACCUCAAUUGCACCAAGACAAAGACCAAAGGCCAACUCUGCUACUACUGCCACUCCCAGUGUGCUGACCAUUCAAAGUUCAGCAACACCUGUUAAAGUCCUUGCUCCUGGUGAAUUCGGUAACCAUAGACCAAAAGGGGCACUAAGACCUGGAAAUGGCCCUGAAAUUUUAUUGGGUCAGGGACCUCCUCAGCAGCCGCCACAGCAGCAUAGAGUACUCCAGCAACUACAGCAGGGAGAUUGGAGAUUACAGCAACUCCAUUUACAGCAUCGUCAUCCUCACCAGCAGCAGCAGCAGCAGCAGCAGCAACAGCAACAGCAGCAGCAGCAACAGCAACAGCAGCAGCAGCAGCAGCAGCAGCAGCACC